CGCAGCCUGAUGCAGCACGCCGCGUGCGGGAAGACAGCCCUAGGGUUGUAAACCGCUUUCAGUAGGGAAGAAAAUGACGGUACCUACAGAAGAAGGUGCGGCCAACUACGUGCCAGCAGCCGCGGUGACACGUAGGCACCAAGCGUUAUCCGGAUUUAUUGGGCGUAAAGAGCUCGUAGGCGGUUUGGUAAGUCGGGUGUGAAAACUCAGGGCUUAACCCUGAGACGCCACCCGAUACUGCCAUGACUUGAGUACGGUAGGGGAGCGGGGAACUCCUGGUGUAGCGGUGAAAUGCGCAGAUAUCAGGAAGAACACCGGUGGCGAAGGCGCCGCUCUGGGCCGUAACUGACGCUGAGGAGCGAAAGCGUGGGUAGCAAACAGGAUUAGAUACCCUGGUAGUCCACGCCGUAAACGUUGGGCACUAGGUGUGGGUCUCAACUAACGAGAUCCGCGCCGUAGCUAACGCAUUAAGUGCCCCGCCUGGGGAGUACGGUCGCAAGACUAAAACUCAAAGAAAUUUGACCGGA
This 527-nucleotide ribosomal RNA is filed under the name uncultured Ilumatobacter sp. RNAcentral describes it as "bacterial SSU rRNA". It matches the Rfam family "Bacterial small subunit ribosomal RNA", at positions 376 to 918 of the family's 1533-position model. Lineage: Bacteria; Bacillati; Actinomycetota; Acidimicrobiia; Acidimicrobiales; Ilumatobacteraceae. The record is from RNAcentral.